Molecule: transfer RNA, 87 nt
Filed under: Rhodocytophaga aerolata
Lineage: Bacteria; Pseudomonadati; Bacteroidota; Cytophagia; Cytophagales; Rhodocytophagaceae
Description: tRNA-Ser
Rfam family: tRNA
About the family: Transfer RNA (tRNA) molecules are approximately 80 nucleotides in length.
Source: RNAcentral
AGAGAGGUGUCCGAGUGGUUGAAGGAGCACGCCUGGAAAGUGUGUAUACCAGCAAUGGUAUCGAGGGUUCGAAUCCCUUCCUCUCUG